Long non-coding RNA from Herpailurus yagouaroundi (jaguarundi), 1032 nucleotides. RefSeq lists it as uncharacterized. NCBI's taxonomy places the organism in Eukaryota, Metazoa, Chordata, Mammalia, Carnivora, Felidae. The record is from RefSeq and is a predicted model, not a curated record. The transcript is spliced from 3 exons.
CUGUGGGGAGUCACCAGCCUUUUGGACAGCUGCUCUGAGGACUUACUCGUGAUUUUAAGGAAAAUCAGGGUUUUUUUCCUGCCCUGACGACAAGGGUUCCUGCCCUCAGCUGUUAUAUCCCCAUCAGAUCUGUCUUCUUUUGGUUCACAGGAUACCUUGGAAUCAGCUGGGAUCAGCCAGCGCUGGAAAACUGCUGACAAGCUGGAGGUCAGAAGGGACUAGAGUGUAAGCAGAGGAGGUUUGUGUGUGGCCGCUCACCUCCCUUACAGUCCACGCUUAGUGACCUUGCAGCCAAGCUCUGGAAAAGCUGGGGAAGUGUCUGGUUAACUUGGGGUCUUCGAGUUUCUUGGAUCAUGGCUGUACCCUCCACGCCUGUGCCGGAAAACUGAAAUAUAGAAGCAGAUCCUGAUUGUCUGGACAAAUCUCGCCCUCUGAUCCAUUCUCAACACUCCUGACCCCACCCCAGGGAGGAUCAUCUUCUGAAAUUGCUUUUGUUGUAGAGAAGAAGCUGCACAGAACCUUCAUUCCCUGCCCACCCUGGCCGGCAGCCCCGGUCUGGAGAGUAGCAAACUCCAGAGACCCCUGGCAGACACAGGGCCCAGGGGGGCUUCUGCAGGCCUUGGCUAUAAUUCAAGAAACGUCAGGCUCUUGAGGUUCAGGCAGGAGCCAAACUGAGCCCCUCCACAGACAGGUGACUGCUCUGCCCGGCAGGCAGGGCGGCCACAUGGUGACCCGCCUGUCACUGGUUUUCACCCCCUCGGAGCCCUGACCCUGAGCAAGGGGGCAUGAAAGGCAGGGCCAGCAAGGCAUCCAGCCACCACGUGAGCCUGUCCGGACUUGAGGGCUUUGGCCUGAGGGUGUGACAAUGAGGGCUGUGGCUUUGAACCUUGUCUGCCUUUGGCUGUUAUGAUGAUUCUGGCAUCCCUUUGCUGUUGUGUCAAAUACGUGAUCGUAAACGCUGAGGGUGAGGAUAUUUUUAUUUGUUAUUAUUUUUUUUUAUUUUAUUUAUGUUUCUUUACUUAUCUUGAGAGC